UGGGGAAUUUUGGACAAUGGGCGAAAGCCUGAUCCAGCAAUGCCGCGUGUGUGAAGAAGGCCUUCGGGUUGUAAAGCACUUUUGUCCGGAAAGAAAUCCUUGGGCUCUAAUACAGUCGGGGGAUGACGGUACCGGAAGAAUAAGCACCGGCUAACUACGUGCCAGCAGCCGCGGUAAUACGUAGGGUGCAAGCGUUAAUCGGAAUUACUGGGCGUAAAGCGUGCGCAGGCGGUUUGCUAAGACCGAUGUGAAAUCCCCGGGCUCAACUGGGAACUGCAUUGGUGACUGGCAGGCUAGAGUAUGGCAGAGGGGGGUAGAAUUCCACGUGUAGCAGUGAAAUGCGUAGAGAUGUGGAGGAAUACCGAUGGCGAAGGCAGCCCCCUGGGCCAAAUACUGACGCUCAUGCACGAAAGCGUGGGGAGCAAACAGGAUUAGAUACCCUGGUAGUCCACGCCCUAAACGAUGUCAACUAGUUGUUGGGGAUUCAUUUCCUUAGUAACGUAGCUAACGCGUGAAGUUGACCGCCUGGGGAGUACGGUCGCAAGAUUAAAACUCAAGGAAUUGACGGGUCAUAGCUG
Molecule: ribosomal RNA, 578 nt
Filed under: uncultured bacterium
Lineage: Bacteria
Description: partial 16S ribosomal RNA
Rfam family: Bacterial small subunit ribosomal RNA
Source: RNAcentral